This 219-nucleotide unclassified non-coding RNA is filed under the name Hevea brasiliensis (rubber tree). Lineage: Eukaryota; Viridiplantae; Streptophyta; Magnoliopsida; Malpighiales; Euphorbiaceae. The record is from RNAcentral.
GACCGCCGCAGCACAAUCGGUGAGUUAGACUUUUGUUUCUUCUGUGUACUUCGCUGAUGUGAUUUGCCUUGAGCUCUUGGACGCUUUGUUUCAGAAGAAAGUUGAGAAAUUCGUGACUGAAUCUGAAGGGAGGCAAGCAAUUCUUCAUUGCGUUUUAUAUUCUCAAUCCUCCGCCGUUCGUAAUCCGUCAAUUUCUUCGCCGACAUUGCAAUAUUAUUU